CGAGUACUGUAUACAUAGAAAUAAAAAUAGCAGUGUCCAUCUAGAGAGAAUCAUAAGAAAUCAAAAAAUGCAUGGUGAAGCCAGCUCCCAGCGUAAUGAGUGGACCGCUGGUUUCGUAGUGACCAAGGCCUCACCGGUGAUGGUCCGGCCGUCGGAGUUGGAGCUGGGACGAACGCCAACGCCGUCGCUUCCCGCCGGUGACUACGCUACCGUUCCUCUCUCCUCUUUCGACAGACGUGUGCCUCCUAUGCCGGCCACCUCGCUGCUGGUGUUCGAGCGCACCAUUGACGAGCCCGUCGAGACGAUAAAGCGCGCCUUGUCGCGAGCGCUGGCUCACUACCGCCCCAUGGCCGGCCGCCUCGACGGUGCCGGCGGCAUCGCGUGCACCGAUGAGGGCGUGACGUUCGUAGGCGCCGCAGCCAGCUGUGCUCUCAAGGAGGCCACCACGAGGGCGCUGCAGGAGAUGGACCUCGCCGUGUGCUAUCCCGGCUUGCUCUGCCGUGAUGCGGAGCCCUUGCUUCUGGUGCAGGUGACAGAGUUCGCAUGUGGCGGCUUUGUUGUCGGGGUGACGUCGAACCACGUCGCCGCGGAUGGCCUCGGGAUGGCACAGUUCCUGAAGGCUCUCGGCGAGCUCGCGCGCGGGACCUCGCCGCCGUCUUGCAUCCCUGUCAGGAGCUGGGACGAGUCGCUCCCGGUCUCGUCAGCCAUCCCUGCUGCCAAGGGGAGCAUGGAGCAUCACGAUCCCCAGCAUCUGGCUACCCUCGACAUCGUCAUCCCGUCGGACCUGAUCAGCCGGAUCAAAGCUGACGACUGCUGCUCGGUGUUAGACGCCGUCAUGGCGGUGCUCUGGCGCUGCCGCACCCGCGCGACAAUGUCGCCCUGUGACGCCGAAUCUCCUGCGCCGCUCAAGUUUGCGUGCAACAUGCGCGCGCAUGCCGGGGCGCCAGCCGGAUACUACGGCAACUGCAUCCGCGUGCAGGUCGUCCGGGCGACGGCCGGCGUGGUGGCCAGCAGCGGCAUCGGACACCUUGUUGGGCUCAUCAGGCGCGUCAAGGAGAUGGUACCGGACCUCCUGUCCACGCCCGGCAGCCGGGCAGAAGCAGAUCAUUGUCAGGGGCAGCACGCGCCGCCGCCGUCUCUCUGGUACGAGACGUUCACCGUGACGGACUGGAGGAACCUUGGCUUGGACGCAGUCGACUUCGGCGGUGGGCCGCCGGAGCGGGUGCUGUUGAGGCACGAUAGGAGGGCAAUGGUGCCGAGCUGUGUGGUGUGCCCGCGCAGCAGGGCGAAGAGGCAUGAAUGUGAUGGGGUGUUCGUGUCCUCCAAGUUCGUCAAGCCACAACACGUCGAUGCUUUGCUUGCCGAGCUCGCGGCGCUGGUAGCUUCAGGGUAGCGAGUCAAAUAACUCAAAUUCCAUGUGGGACUAUAGGAGCAUGCAUGUAGGAGACGAGUAAAAUAAGUCUGGG
RNAcentral lists this unclassified non-coding RNA (1466 nucleotides) under Zea mays. Its description in RNAcentral is "misc RNA Zm00001eb089320". Lineage: Eukaryota; Viridiplantae; Streptophyta; Magnoliopsida; Poales; Poaceae. The record is from RNAcentral.